GACGAACGCUGGCGGCGUGCUUAACACAUGCAAGUCGAACGGAAAGGCCCUGCUUUUGUGGGGUGCUCGAGUGGCGAACGGGUGAGUAACACGUGAGUAACCUGCCCUUGACUUUGGGAUAACUUCAGGAAACUGGGGCUAAUACCGGAUAGGAGCUCCUGCUGCAUGGUGGGGGUUGGAAAGUUUCGGCGGUUGGGGAUGGACUCGCGGCUUAUCAGCUUGUUGGUGGGGUAGUGGCUGACCAAGGCUUUGACGGGUAGCCGGCCUGAGAGGGUGACCGGCGACAUUGGGACUGAGAUACGGCCCAGACUCCUACGGGAGGCAGCAGUGGGGAAUAUUGCACAAUGGGCGGAAGCCUGAUGCAGCAACGCCGCGUGCGGGAUGACGGCCUUCGGGUUGUAAACCGCUUUCGCCUGUGACGAAGCGUGAGUGACGGUAAUGGGUAAAGAAGCACCGGCUAACUACGUG
Molecule: ribosomal RNA, 468 nt
Filed under: uncultured bacterium
Lineage: Bacteria
Description: partial 16S ribosomal RNA
Rfam family: Bacterial small subunit ribosomal RNA
Source: RNAcentral